CGGCUCUGGGAGCCCGGCCCC
Molecule: small nuclear RNA, 21 nt
Filed under: Arabidopsis thaliana (thale cress)
Lineage: Eukaryota; Viridiplantae; Streptophyta; Magnoliopsida; Brassicales; Brassicaceae
Description: snRNA_04731
Source: RNAcentral